UUUUAUUUAGAGACAACAACGGUCAAAUGCUCAUUUUCACUAGUUGUUUUCGCGAGCAUAUUUUUCAUUGAAGACGCGGAAAUUCUUCGUAUCAUCUUUCGUGAUUAGCGCGGGGAAUUGUACUAAUGGAGAAAAAAAAAUUCUUUGUGUCCUGGCACCGAUCGCUGUCCAAUCGGUAAAUUCUCUAAAAUAAAUAAUAUUUUCGAAUUUUGGCCGGUGUUUGGUCUCGUUGGUGGCACUCGUCUCAGUACGCAAAAGCAUCGUCGGCGUUUACUAGCCGGAACAGCUUCCGACUUUGUGUAGGCAGGCGUCAGAGAGACGUGGAAAGUUCACCAAGCGCGCAGUCGAUAGAAACGUGAAUUUUGCCGACUCCGGUCCGCCAGAUGUCGGAUACUGCGGUCCUUGAAAUAACGGAACGAAGUUUUUUUCACCAGAUACCCGGAUUUUUUUUAUUCCUUGAAGUUGGUAAAGUGAGAAACCAGAUCAUGAGCUUUCACCAUGUGCAGGAAAAGACUGAGAUGAGUGAUCCAAAGAUAAACAGCGAAAGUUACCAGCGCCAAAUUACUAACUGCAACCUCGGUAUCGGUCCCAUCAUCAUCGCGCGGUAAAACCAGGCACUUUUCAAAGGCUAAGGCCCAAGUCUCCUACACAACCAUCUUCUUGGAUAUUACCAGAACAUCAAAUAGCCCGCCACCCGUCAGCGUCUCGCCACUCAUUCCCGUCAAACAGCUGACAAGUCAAAAAAAGAUUUUUUUGACAAAAUUUUUGGGGGA
Hermetia illucens (black soldier fly) is the source of this 773-nucleotide long non-coding RNA. RefSeq lists it as uncharacterized. NCBI's taxonomy places the organism in Eukaryota, Metazoa, Arthropoda, Insecta, Diptera, Stratiomyidae. The transcript is spliced from 4 exons. The record is from RefSeq and is a predicted model, not a curated record.